RNAcentral lists this ribosomal RNA (213 nucleotides) under Triticum aestivum (bread wheat). RNAcentral describes it as "partial small subunit ribosomal RNA". The record is from RNAcentral. Lineage: Eukaryota; Viridiplantae; Streptophyta; Magnoliopsida; Poales; Poaceae.
CAGCAGGUGGCGCACCAGCGUACUUAACCUGCGGUCGGCGCUAGGCUGCGCCGCGCGCACGUUAGCCGUGGGCAUCGCGGCCCGGCUAGGGUGCGCCGGCCCGUACGAGCGUCUCGGGUGCGUGCCGCGUGCUGCUGUGGGUGGAAUCGAGGGGCGCGGACGUGGGGAGCGGAGCGCACCCGCGUGCGGCCGCUGGGUUCGCUAUAAACGGCG